Molecule: ribosomal RNA, 516 nt
Filed under: uncultured bacterium
Lineage: Bacteria
Description: bacterial SSU rRNA
Rfam family: Bacterial small subunit ribosomal RNA
Source: RNAcentral
GAGUUUGAUCAUGGCUCAGGACGAACGCUGGCGGCGUGCUUAACACAUGCAAGUCAAGGGGGCCCGGUAGCAAUACUGGGCAACCGGCGAACGGGUGCGUAACACGUGAGCAACCUUCCGAGAUAUGGGGGAUAGCCGGCCUAACGGCCGAGUAAUACCGCAUACGCUCUCGAUGAGGCAUUUCAUUGAGAGGAAACCUCCGGGGUAUUUCGAGGGGCUCGCGGCCUAUCAGCUAGUUGGCGAGGUAACGGCUCACCAAGGCAACGACGGGUAGCUGGUCUGAGAGGAUGGCCAGCCACAUUGGGACUGGGACACGGUCCAGACUCCUACGGGAGGCAGCAGUGGGGAAUAUUGGACAAUGGGCGAAAGCCUGAUCCAGCCAUGCCGCGUGUGUGAAGAAGGUCUUCGGAUUGUAAAGCACUUUAAGUUGGGAGGAAGGGCAGUAAAUUAAUACUUUGCUGUUUUGACGUUACCGACAGAAUAAGCACCGGCUAACUCUGUGCCAGCCGCCGCCGU